Molecule: long non-coding RNA, 255 nt
Filed under: Setaria viridis
Lineage: Eukaryota; Viridiplantae; Streptophyta; Magnoliopsida; Poales; Poaceae
Description: long non-coding RNA (SVIR_LNC005915)
Source: RNAcentral
GGAUGGGGAAUGUUGAACUAACUGUAUUGGAUUCUGCUGAUCGAGUUGUUUGUAAGCGAGUUCCGCCAGUUAAGCCAAUUGUCUUGUGUACUUUUUCUGAGGCAUCGCGCUGGUGAUAAGAUCAAUAGAUGCGACGGAAGCCAGCGGAGUACGAUGAUUAUGCGUUUGAACUGCUUCAAAGGCAUUGUCCAGGUUUUGGAUUAGUAAGUCUGCUACAAGGCGGUGGUAGCACUCUGGUCUUGCAGCAUUUCUUAC